CAAUAGCGUAUAUUAAAGUUGUUGCAGUUAAAAAGCUCGUAGUUGGAUUUCUGGAUGGAGCGACCGGUCGGCAUUAAUUUGUCUGCACUGGAGUCGGUUCCGUCCAUCCUCUUGGAAAGUGCGUGGGGCAUUAAGUUGUCUGGCGUAUGAUCCAAGUCGUUUACUGUGAAAAAAUUAGAGUGUUUAAAGCAGGCCUUCGCCUUGAAUACAUUAGCAUGGAAUAAUAAGAUAGGACUUUGGUCUAUUUUGUUGGUUUGCAGACCGAAGUAAUGAUUAAUAGGGAUAGUUGGGGGUAUUUAUAUUCCGAUGUCAGAGGUGAAAUUCUUAGAUUUUCGGAAGAUAAACUUAUGCGAAAGCAUUUACCAAGGAUGUUUUCAUUAA
Molecule: ribosomal RNA, 381 nt
Filed under: uncultured eukaryote
Lineage: Eukaryota
Description: partial 18S ribosomal RNA
Rfam family: Eukaryotic small subunit ribosomal RNA
Source: RNAcentral